AACUUCAAGGACCAAAACACAACUGGCCAUUAGCAAUCGAACGAUGUCGUUUCAAGAGAACUAUUCGUCUUCUUCCGCUCACCAAACCAGAGAAACGAACGCCCCUGCCAUCACUACUCCUGCAAUAAACGGUCUUGAGUCUUCAUUACCAAGGGAAACGCAUGCCAUUCGCCGACUAUAAAAAACCAGAGAAGGGAUGCGUACAAAAAAAAAAAACAAAAGCUAAAACCCAGACGAAAAAUGAGAAACUGGAGAAAUGAAUAAAGGAAAAACAAAGCAUAAAUCCAGAGAAAGAAAUAAUACAGAGAGAGACGGAGAGAACAAGAGAGCAGCAAUACAUAUAGACGAGUAUUGGCUCUGCCAUUGCCUUCGUCCCUGCAAACAACGAAAACCCAAAAUCAAAACAAAUUCCCAGCAGGCCGGCCUCGUCAUCAUCUUCUCGAUUUCAAAAGCCGCUGAACAAACAAAAGGAACACGCAGACAAGUGAACAUAGAAGGAAGAUAAAGGGGAGCAAUAGGCGAGAAUCCAUCAGCGCUGCAAGCAUCUUCGCCUCCCGAAGCAGGUACGCUCUUUCCUUUCUCC
Molecule: long non-coding RNA, 583 nt
Filed under: Populus tremula
Lineage: Eukaryota; Viridiplantae; Streptophyta; Magnoliopsida; Malpighiales; Salicaceae
Description: long non-coding RNA (PTRE_LNC000523)
Source: RNAcentral